Molecule: ribosomal RNA, 468 nt
Filed under: uncultured bacterium
Lineage: Bacteria
Description: partial 16S ribosomal RNA
Rfam family: Bacterial small subunit ribosomal RNA
Source: RNAcentral
GACGAACGCUGGCGGCGUGCUUAACACAUGCAAGUCGAACGGAAAGGCCCUGCUUUUGUGGGGUGCUCGAGUGGCGAACGGGUGAGUAACACGUGAGUAACCUGCCCUUGACUUUGGGAUAACUUCAGGAAACUGGGGCUAAUACCGGAUAGGAGCUCCUGCUGCAUGGUGGGGGUUGGAAAGUUUCGGCGGUUGGGGAUGGACUCGCGGCUUAUCAGCUUGUUGGUGGGGUAGUGGCUUACCAAGGCUUUGACGGGUAGCCGGCCUGAGAGGGUGACCGGGCACAUUAGGCCUGAGAUACGGACCAGACUCGUACGGGAGGCAGCAGUGGGGAAUAUUGCACAAUGAGCGGAAGCCUGAUGCAGCAGCGCCGCGUGCGGGAUGACGGCCUUCGGGUUGUAAACCGCUUUCGCCUGUGACGAAGCGUGAGUGACGGUAAUGGGUAAAGAAGCACCGGCUAACUACGUG